GGGAAUGUGAUAUGGGGCAUUAGGGUCAGGGGUCAGAAGUCAGGGGCUCCUUGGGACCUGAAAGGCAGCAUUCAAGUGGGGGUUGGUGCGAGGGGGUGAAUGACCCAGAGUUGAGAGCUAGGUCAAGCCUUUCUGUGGCAUUGGAGGUGGGAGUCUAGCUUGGAUUAUCAAGGGCCUUUAGGAAUCUGUGUCAGAAACAGCACAAUUAGGGUCCCACAGGGGUACCAAAUUGGGGAUAUUUUUGAGGCCUGGGUUUUUUGAGGGUAUCAGAAGACUGCAUGUCAAGGAUCAUCAGACCGGGUGGCUGGCUCUGCAGUACUUGAGGCUGAGGUGCCUUAACGUGGUCUCACCCCUUGCUGGCUGUGUGUCCACAGGGGGUGUGGCUCGGCUCCACACCCUCUGGCUCCCCGGCCCUGCUACCCCCCAGCCACCGAGUGAAUGCGGAGCCUGGUUGUGUUGUGACCAACGCCUGUGCCUCUGGGCCCUGCCCACCUCACGCAGACUGCCGGGACCUCUGGCAGACCUUUUCUUGCACCUGCCGGCCAGGUUACUACGGCCCAGGCUGUGUGGAUGCCUGCCUCCUGAACCCCUGUCAGAACGAGGGAUCAUGCCGGCACCUGCCAGGAGCCCCCCAUGGCUAUACCUGUGACUGUGUGGGUGGCUAUUUCGGGCACCACUGUGAGCACAGGAUGGACCAGCAGUGCCCACGGGGCUGGUGGGGGAGCCCAACCUGUGGC
RNAcentral lists this long non-coding RNA (737 nucleotides) under Pan troglodytes (chimpanzee). RNAcentral describes it as "long non-coding RNA NONPTRT011918". Lineage: Eukaryota; Metazoa; Chordata; Mammalia; Primates; Hominidae. The record is from RNAcentral.